UUGGCCAAUGAUAGUAGGAGAAAAAUAAUAAUGCAUUCAUUACCUCUCAUUGGCUGAGUACAUUUUGUGGAAUGGAGACUUAGAGGUCUAUUAUUCUCUUGCAAGAGGUCUGUUUUCUCAAGUCGUCUUCCAGGACGAAACGCGUUAACCCCACCACCUAAAAGGCAGUCCUCUA
Molecule: long non-coding RNA, 175 nt
Organism: Rana temporaria (common frog)
Lineage: Eukaryota; Metazoa; Chordata; Amphibia; Anura; Ranidae
Exons: 2
Source: RefSeq, a predicted model, not a curated record